AUUGAACGCUGGCGGCAGGCCUAACACAUGCAAGUCGAGCGAGCGGCGGACGGGUGAGUAAUGUCUGGGUAACUGCCUGACGGAGGGGGAUAACUACUGGAAACGGUAGCUAAUACCGCAUACUAUCAGAUGAACACAGAUGGGAUUAGCUAGUGGGUGGGGUAACGGCUCACCUAGGCGUCGAUCCCUAGCUGGUCUGAGAGGAUGACCAGCCACACUGGAACUGAGACACGGUCCAGACUCCUACGGGAGGCAGCAGUGGGGAAUAUUGCACAAUGGGCGCAAGCCUGAUACAGCCAUGCCGCGUGUGUGAAGAAGGCCUUCGGGUUGUAAAGCACUUUCAGUGGGGAGGCGUUACCCGCAGAAGAAGCACCGGCUAACUCCGUGCCAGCAGCCGCGGUAAUAC
This 406-nucleotide ribosomal RNA is filed under the name uncultured bacterium. Its description in RNAcentral is "partial 16S ribosomal RNA". It matches the Rfam family "Bacterial small subunit ribosomal RNA", at positions 30 to 526 of the family's 1533-position model. The record is from RNAcentral.